This 75-nucleotide transfer RNA is filed under the name Candidatus Daviesbacteria bacterium RIFCSPHIGHO2_01_FULL_41_23. RNAcentral describes it as "tRNA-Lys". It matches the Rfam family "tRNA". From Rfam's summary of the family: Transfer RNA (tRNA) molecules are approximately 80 nucleotides in length. Their secondary structure includes four short double-helical elements and three loops (D, anti-codon, and T loops). Further hydrogen bonds mediate the characteristic L-shaped molecular structure. tRNAs have two regions of fundamental functional importance: the anti-codon, which is responsible for specific mRNA codon recognition, and the 3' end, to which the tRNAs corresponding amino acid is attached (by aminoacyl-tRNA synthetases). tRNAs cope with the degeneracy of the genetic code in two manners: having more than one tRNA (with a specific anti-codon) for a particular amino acid; and 'wobble' base-pairing, i.e. permitting non-standard base-pairing at the 3rd anti-codon position. Lineage: Bacteria; Candidatus Daviesiibacteriota. RNAcentral also lists the same sequence under 3 other names. The record is from RNAcentral.
GGGCUGGUAGCUCAGCGGUAGAGCAAAGGACUCUUAAUCCUUAGGUCCAGGGUUCGAAUCCCUGCCAGCUCACAA